ACGGGAGGCAGCAGUAGGGAAUAUUGCACAAUGGGGGAAACCCUGAUGCAGCAACGCCACGUGUGGGAAGAAGCAUUUCGGUGUGUAAACCACUGUCGUGAAGGAAUAAUGCUGGACCUCGGUCCAGUUGAAUGUACUUUGAAAGGAAGCACCGGCAAACUUCGUGCCAGCAGCCGCGGUAAUACGAGGGGUGCAAGCGUUGUUCGGAAUCACUGGGCGUAAAGGGAGCGCAGGCGGAGAUGCAAGCAGUCUGUACAAUACCGGGGCCCAACCCCGGACCUGCAGACUGGACUGUGUCUCUUGGAUAGUUCAGGGGCAGGCGGAAUUCCUGGUGUAGCGGUGGAAUGCGUAGAGAUCAGGAAGAACACCGAUGGCGAAGGCAGCCUGCUGGGGACUCAUCGACGCUGAGGCUCGAAAGUGCGGGUAGCAAACAGGAUUAGAUACCCUGGUA
RNAcentral lists this ribosomal RNA (451 nucleotides) under uncultured Fibrobacter sp. Its description in RNAcentral is "partial 16S ribosomal RNA". It matches the Rfam family "Bacterial small subunit ribosomal RNA", at positions 341 to 792 of the family's 1533-position model. Lineage: Bacteria; Pseudomonadati; Fibrobacterota; Fibrobacteria; Fibrobacterales; Fibrobacteraceae. The record is from RNAcentral.